GACCGCGUAGCUCAGUUGGCAGAGUAUUGGGCUAGUAUUCCAAAGGUCGUAGGUUCGAUUCCCACCGUGCUCA
Molecule: transfer RNA, 73 nt
Filed under: Paramuricea clavata
Lineage: Eukaryota; Metazoa; Cnidaria; Anthozoa; Malacalcyonacea; Plexauridae
Rfam family: tRNA
About the family: Transfer RNA (tRNA) molecules are approximately 80 nucleotides in length. Their secondary structure includes four short double-helical elements and three loops (D, anti-codon, and T loops). Further hydrogen bonds mediate the characteristic L-shaped molecular structure. tRNAs have two regions of fundamental functional importance: the anti-codon, which is responsible for specific mRNA codon recognition, and the 3' end, to which the tRNAs corresponding amino acid is attached (by aminoacyl-tRNA synthetases). tRNAs cope with the degeneracy of the genetic code in two manners: having more than one tRNA (with a specific anti-codon) for a particular amino acid; and 'wobble' base-pairing, i.e. permitting non-standard base-pairing at the 3rd anti-codon position.
Source: Rfam by way of RNAcentral